Non-coding RNA from Pelobates cultripes (western spadefoot toad), 282 nucleotides. Lineage: Eukaryota; Metazoa; Chordata; Amphibia; Anura; Pelobatidae. The record is from the annotation of a GenBank genome assembly.
GCUAUGCCGCACGCCGGCGUUUAGAGCAGGGUCCCCAAGGAGGGCAUAGCACUCCUGCCAUCCUUAAAGGACCACUAUAGGCACCCAGACCACUUCAGCUUAAUGAAGUGGUCUGGGUGCCAGGUCCAUCUAGGAUUAACCCUUUCUGCUGUAAACAUAGCAGUUUCAGGGAAACUGCUAUGUUUACAUUAGGGUUAAUUCAGCCUCUAGUGGCUGUCUAUGAUUUUCACAGUGAGAAGACGCCAGCGUCCAUAGGAAAGCAUUGAGAAUGGAGUCUUAAAG